UUGCAUUUUCUGGAAUGUAAUAUGGUUCUUAUUUUGUACAAACUUGCAAUCCCAUCUAUGUUACCUUAUUCUUCAUCUUGGAUAUCGUAUAAAGGUUCUCAACAAGGGAGUUUUCAGCAAUUGCUAUUUCAACAAAAUGAUAAUGGCAGAGAAGUUUGGAGCAGACUUAACAGAUUGAUCAUUGACUUAUUCUUUUGUUGUAUAAUUUUAGUUGUGUUUUGUGUAUUAGUUGGUUGGAUGAUAUUACUCUAAUGCUCAAUGAUUGAACAUGGAAAUAUUUUGAAGGUUUUUUAUCCAUAUGUUCAAAGGUUGAGUGUGUCAAUAACCAUUACAAGAAUACGAGUAGAUCAUAUAGAAAUGCCAAAUUAAGCAAAAAAAAAAAGAUACAAUUAUUCACUUAAACAAAUGUUUCUACGUCAAUCUUCCUAGCUUCAAGCCUAACUGAACCAGGCAAUUGGUUGUUCAUUUUCCUCUCACAAUUGUAAGCAUUGUAUGCUGAUUCGGCAUCCAACAAUGAUCUGUAAGAUUGGAAUGAAUCAAAUACAAAUUAGCAGCAUCAAGAGAAAAAGAAAAGGAUGGAUUCUAUUUUUCAAGGAUAAAAAUCAAAUACAAGUCACAUUUGGUUUGAUUUUAGAGGAGGGUUAAUGAAGCAAUAUAUGCUUUAUAGAAAAUAAAGAACCUUAGAAUGAAGCUGCAAUUACUGGAUUAGCAGAAGAAAAUUAGGGAAUUCUAUGUGGUAAAUAACUUAACAAUGCAGCUAAGACCAAAAACAAUUGCCUCAACUAAAGAAUUCACAGAAACGUGUGAUAUAUCAAACUACCCAGAAUAUGUUUGAAGAACAACUUGAAAAUCUUAAUACACACCAUAUAUGCAAACUUUAAAUACCAAAAAAAAAAAAAAUGAGUUCCAACAGACGUAAACAUUAUAUAAGCAAAAACAUAAUUACAACCAAACCAUAAGCUUUAACAUUUCACAAAAUAUCACACUUCAAAUAACUUAUUUCUAGUAAUUUUAAAAUAUAAAUAAAAAAUAAAAACAAAUGUUUUCUAAUCAAAGUAUCACAUACAAGGUUUCGUAAAGGCCGUGUCAAAAGAAUUUCUUUAACUGAUUAAAUAUACUAAUUUUAGGUGACAAUAAUCUAAUAAUAUUAAACUAAAUUAACUUAAUUUCGCGAAAAAAAAUUCAAAAAACGCAUAGAAUUACGGAUCAAGUCUAAUUAACAAUCAAACGUAGUAACCCAGAUGCAUUUAUGCCAAAAAGAAUGUUCAUAAGACUACACAAAACCACCCAAAAAAAAUUAUAAAAUAAUAAAAGCAACAGCUGUGAUAGAUUUUGCCAGAACAAGAAACACAACAAAACAAAGAGAAUAAAUCAAUCAAGGGCAUAAAUAGAUUGAACAAAAAAGGGCAAGAUCAGAGAAGAAACUGACCCACGACACUGGAUCAUGCUAAGCCUAGCGUCAUGGUGGUGGUUUUGAUGAUGCGUUAGCUGAGAUCUGAGUAAAAUAUUGAUAGUGAGCUUGUGGGUGAGUGAGAGGGGAACGAGCUUCGUGGGUGAGAGUGAGAGCCGAGAGGGACAGAGCGGGUGAGAGAGAGGGGGUGAGUGAGGGGAGGGAUAAGAAUUUAGAUUUUUAAUUUGUUUUGAUUAGCUUUUAUUAGUUUUUAAUGGUAAAAUUUGUUUUUAAUUCUCAAAUCUAAAACUUCAAAACGGCACACAAGCAUGUCGUUUCUGGCU
This 1734-nucleotide long non-coding RNA is filed under the name Citrus maxima (pomelo). RNAcentral describes it as "long non-coding RNA (CMAX_LNC002253)". The record is from RNAcentral. Lineage: Eukaryota; Viridiplantae; Streptophyta; Magnoliopsida; Sapindales; Rutaceae.